Molecule: ribosomal RNA, 250 nt
Filed under: uncultured bacterium
Lineage: Bacteria
Description: partial 16S ribosomal RNA
Rfam family: Bacterial small subunit ribosomal RNA
Source: RNAcentral
GACGAACCGUCCAAACGUUAUUCGGAAUCACUGGGCUUACAGAGUUCGUAGGCGGUCUGGAAAGUUGGGUGUGAAAUCCCUCGGCUCAACCGAGGAACUGCGCUCGAAACUACCAGACUCGAGGGAGAUAGAGGAAAGCGGAACUGAUGGUGGAGCGGUGAAAUGCGUUGAUAUUAUCAGGAACACCGGUGGCGAAGGCGGCUUUCUGGGUCUUACCUGACGCUGAGGAACGAAAGCUAGGGGAGCGAAC